GUUUUAAUAGUUUAAAAAAAAACUUUGGUCUUGUAAACCAAAAAUGAAAAUAAUUUCUUAAAACU
This 65-nucleotide transfer RNA is filed under the name Lophopotamon yenyuanense. Its description in RNAcentral is "tRNA-Thr". It matches the Rfam family "tRNA". Rfam says of the family: Transfer RNA (tRNA) molecules are approximately 80 nucleotides in length. Lineage: Eukaryota; Metazoa; Arthropoda; Malacostraca; Decapoda; Potamidae. The record is from RNAcentral.